CAGUCGCCACGGGAAUACGGAGGGUGCAAGCGUUAUCCGGAUUUAUUGGGUUUAAAGGGUCCGUAGGCGGAUCUGUAAGUCAGUGGUGAAAUCUCACAGCUUAACUGUGAAACUGCCAUUGAUACUGCAGGUCUUGAGUAAAUUUGAAGUGGCUGGAAUAAGUAGUGUAGCGGUGAAAUGCAUAGAUAUUACUUAGAACACCAAUUGCGAAGGCAGGUCACUAAGAUUUAACUGACGCUGAUGGACGAAAGCGUGGGGAGCGAACAGGAUUAGAUACCCCGGUAGUCCCUGUCUCUUAUAU
Molecule: ribosomal RNA, 301 nt
Filed under: uncultured bacterium
Lineage: Bacteria
Description: partial 16S ribosomal RNA
Rfam family: Bacterial small subunit ribosomal RNA
Source: RNAcentral